RNAcentral lists this ribosomal RNA (1780 nucleotides) under Candidatus Buchananbacteria bacterium CG10_big_fil_rev_8_21_14_0_10_42_9. RNAcentral describes it as "bacterial SSU rRNA". It matches the Rfam family "Bacterial small subunit ribosomal RNA". Lineage: Bacteria; Candidatus Buchananiibacteriota. The record is from RNAcentral.
AAUUGAGAGUUUGAUCCUGGCUCAGGAUGAACGCUGGCGGCGUGUCUAAGGCAUGCAAGUCGAACGCCCCACACCUUUUAGCUUUUGUGAUAUGAUGAGCAUAUGUAUUACAUCUAUGUUCUCAAAAGUAAAAAGAACGGACGUCUCUACAUUGGAUUUUCUGAUAAUCUAAAACGGAGACUCAGUGAGCACAAUCGUGGUCAAUCAAAGUUUACCAAGCAAUUUCGUCCCUGGAAAUUAAUUUAUUACGAAGCGUAUGCUUCUAAAAAGAUGCGAUGGAACGAGAAAAGCAAUUAAAGAAACUUGCUAAAGCUUGGGGUCAACUUAAACGACGUAUCGAUAAUUCACUUCAGGAAAGUUAAAAGGUGUGGGGAGUGGCAAACGGGUGAGUAACACAUUAGUAACCUACCUCCAAGUUCGGAAUAACCCGAAGAAAUUCGGACUAAUACCGGAUGUGCUCGGAUAUCAUAUGGUGUCCGCGUAAAGGUUUACCGCUUGGAGAGGGGCUUAUGGCCCAUCAGCUUGUUGGUGUAGUAACGGUGCACCAAGGCGAUGACGGGUAGCAGGCGUGAGAGCGUGACCUGCCUCACUGGGACUGAGACACUGCCCAGACUCCUACGGGAGGCUGCAGUCAAGAAUAUUCCACAAUGGGCGAAAGCCUGAUGGAGCGACGCCGCGUGACCGAAGAAGCCCUUCGGGGUGUAAAGGUCUUUUAUUUGGGACGAACCUAUGACGGUACCAAAUGAAUAAGGGGCUGCUAAACUCGUGCCAGCAGCAGCGGUAAUACGAGUGCCCCAAGCGUUAUCCGGAUUUAUUGGGCGUAAAGCGUGGGUAGCCGGUUUUGUAUGUCUGACGUCAAAUCUUGAGACUCAAUUUCAAGACUGCGUCGGAAACUGCGAAACUAGAGGACGGAAGAGGCAACUGGAAUUGUCGGUGUAGUGGUAAAAUACGUUAAUAUCGACAAGAACACCAAAUGCGAAGGCAUGUUGCUGGAACGCUCCUGACGGUCAGCCACGAAAGCGUGGGUAGCGAAUGGGAUUAGAUACCCCAGUAGUCCACGCCGUAAACGAUGGAUACUAGGCAUUGGCAGUUUCGACCCUGCCAGUGUCGUUUAACCAAGCUAACGCGUUAAGUAUCCCGCCUGGGGAGUACGGCCGCAAGGCUAAAACUCAAAGGAAUUGACGGGGAUCCGCACAAGCGGUGGAGCAUGUGGUUUAAUUCGAUAAUAAGCGAGGAACCUUACCAGGGCUUGACAUCUAGCUGCACAUCCCGUGAAAGCGGGAUUCCUUCGAGGGUGCUAGACAGGUGCUGCAUGGUUGUCGUCAGCUCGUGUCGUGAGAUGUACCGUUAAGUCGGGUAACGAGCGCAACCCUCGUCCUAUGUUGCAUAUUCAUAGGAGACUGCCUCUUCGGAGGAGGAAGGAGAGGAUGACGUCAAAUCAGCAUGGCCCUUACGCCCUGGGCGACACACGUGCUACAAUGGCCGGUACAAUGGGACGCCAAGUCGCAAGACGGAGCCAAUCCCACCAAAACCGGUCCCAGUUCGGAUUGAGGGCUGCAACUCGCCCUCAUGAAGCCGGAAUCGCUAGUAAACGCCUAUCAGCCAUGGGGCGUUGAAUACGUUCUCGGAUCUUGUACACACCGCCCGUCACAUCAAGGGAGUUGGUAAUACCCUAAAGCUGACGUUCGUCGGACUAAGGUAGGACCAAUGACAGGGAUGAAGUCGUAACAAGGCAUCCGUAGCGGAAGCUGUGGAUGGAUCACCUCCUUUCUAGGGAGUA